UACGAAGGGGGCUAGCGUUGUUCGGAAUUACUGGGCGUAAAGCGCGCGCAGGCGGCUUUUCAAGUCGGUGGUGAAAUCCCAGAGCUCAACUCUGGAAUUGCCAUCGAAACUGUAAAGCUUGGGUACGGGAGAGGUGAGUGGAAUUCCGAGUGUAGAGGUGAAAUUCGUAGAUAUUCGGAAGAACACCAGUGGCGAAGGCGGCUCACUGGCCCGUUACCGACGCUCAGGCGCGACAGCGUGGGGAGCAAACAGG
This 253-nucleotide ribosomal RNA is filed under the name uncultured prokaryote. Its description in RNAcentral is "partial 16S ribosomal RNA". It matches the Rfam family "Bacterial small subunit ribosomal RNA", at positions 524 to 776 of the family's 1533-position model. The record is from RNAcentral.